RNAcentral lists this unclassified non-coding RNA (893 nucleotides) under Hevea brasiliensis (rubber tree). Lineage: Eukaryota; Viridiplantae; Streptophyta; Magnoliopsida; Malpighiales; Euphorbiaceae. The record is from RNAcentral.
GGAAAAUGAUAGAGUAAUGGUAGUCACGUGAACAACUGUCUUACACGACGCUUGCCUACCACCUUUUAGGGUUGGCUUCAACCCAUACCUAGUUAAUUGGUUAUUGUUGUAGAAUCAUCUGUAGCUGUAGCUGAUGGUGGCGGAGGGAAGUCGUUGUAUGGUCAUCUUCCCACUUUUCUUUCCUAUUUUAUUUUCUUUAUAUGAGAUUAAAAAAAGUUGGUGUCUUCAUUUACGCAAUCUGUUCAUUUGUAGAUAUCAUAUCAUGUAUAACAAUGCAGACAGCAGACAAAAGGAUAGAAGCUAGCUUAAGCAGCAAGUGAACAUGUUAUUCCCGGUGGUUUUUGUCCCUUUAUCCCUUGGGAUUAAUGCCAAGAGUUGUAGUCUUGAAGCGCUUGCCAAGAAGAAAACGAUGUGAGGCCACAUGGGCUCUUCAUGUUGGGACUUGGGUACCCAACACUAAGCUUCGAUGGUGCCAUCUCUAAGCCAUCAUGAUGGGGGACCCUAUGCUUCUGAUUCCUGUUUUCCAGAACUUGAUGUUUCAAGAAAGAAACUACUGUUCUUGUUUUGACCGCUUUGGGAAGCUGUUUUUGAUUGUGGGUUUUUGUUUUUAAGCGGAUCAGAAAGCUACUGUUUCUGAUACAAAACUUCAACUUGUUGUAGACUAUAGUUUCUAAUCUUGAAGAGUUCUGGAAGUUGCUGCAUAUGUGCUUUCUCAUUUGCCAUCCAAAUCUCGAAUUUGUUGAAAUGUUUUAAUUUAACCAUCCAAAUCUUGAAUUUGUUGAAAUGCUUUAUUUUACUUUGAUUCACAGCAUAUAAUAUGUAAAUUUCUGAUAGGAAUUAUAUGUAUUGCACUGUUUAGAUAAAUUUUGAGAGAGGAAAAAAAAUAAAAGAAG